RNAcentral lists this ribosomal RNA (254 nucleotides) under uncultured bacterium. Its description in RNAcentral is "partial 16S ribosomal RNA". It matches the Rfam family "Bacterial small subunit ribosomal RNA", at positions 524 to 776 of the family's 1533-position model. The record is from RNAcentral.
UACGUGGGGAGCAAGCGUUGUUCGGAUUUACUGGGCGUAAAGGGCGCGUAGGCGGCCACCGCAAGUCGACUGUGAAAUCUCCGGGCUUAACCCGGAACGGUCAGCCGAUACUGCGGGGCUAGAGUGCAGAAGGGGCAACUGGAAUUCUCGGUGUAGCGGUGAAAUGCGUAGAUAUCAGGAGGAACACCGGUGGCGAAGGCGCACACCUGGCCCGAUACUGACGCUGAGGCGCGAAAGCUAGGGGAGCAAACGGG